RNAcentral lists this unclassified non-coding RNA (390 nucleotides) under Hevea brasiliensis (rubber tree). The record is from RNAcentral. Lineage: Eukaryota; Viridiplantae; Streptophyta; Magnoliopsida; Malpighiales; Euphorbiaceae.
UUUUAGAAUUACUGAUUCCAAGAUAUGUAAGUAAAUUUUAACUUGUCUUUAAGGGACAUGCAAUAGCAAAGAAGUGCCAUUUCAAAUCUUACAGCAUUUUAACCAUUUAGAAUAUGAUAUCCUUGGCAUGUGAAGCAUGAAACUUGCACUUGCAAUUAUCAUUAAUUUUACGUAAACAAAGUGUCGUAUAUGCUUUUAUAUGGUUGUUAUUUGUAAAUUGCAUAUCUGGCAAAUUGCUUCUUUUAUGAUCUAUAAUGUUGGUAGCAAAGAGCCAAGACCACUAAAUUCUUUAAUUUUACUAAUUGUUAACUGGAAUUUUUUUUUCUUUUUCAUCUUUCUGUUCAGAGUCAUUUUUGUUGAUGUCCUCUUCUUCAAUUAUUUUUACUUUCU